This 76-nucleotide transfer RNA is filed under the name Caudoviricetes sp. RNAcentral's name for it is "tRNA-Trp". It matches the Rfam family "tRNA". Rfam says of the family: Transfer RNA (tRNA) molecules are approximately 80 nucleotides in length. Their secondary structure includes four short double-helical elements and three loops (D, anti-codon, and T loops). Lineage: Duplodnaviria; Heunggongvirae; Uroviricota; Caudoviricetes. The record is from RNAcentral.
AAGAGAGUAGCCCAAUAGGUAAGGCAGCAGUCUCCAAAACUGAAGAUUAAAGGUUCAAUUCCUUUCUCUCUUGCCA